This 87-nucleotide non-coding RNA is filed under the name Pseudomonas tolaasii NCPPB 2192. The record is from RNAcentral. Lineage: Bacteria; Pseudomonadati; Pseudomonadota; Gammaproteobacteria; Pseudomonadales; Pseudomonadaceae.
GGUGGGAGCUGGCUUGCCUGCGAUGCAAGCAACUCGGUCUGCCAGUUACACCGAGGUGAUGCCAUCGCAGGCAAGCCAGCUCCCACA